This 54-nucleotide transfer RNA is filed under the name Amphiascoides atopus. RNAcentral's name for it is "tRNA-Val". The record is from RNAcentral. Lineage: Eukaryota; Metazoa; Arthropoda; Copepoda; Harpacticoida; Miraciidae.
UUCUAAUUAGUAUAAAUUACAUUUCACUUACAUUGAAAAGAUAAAUAUUAGAAG